RNAcentral lists this unclassified non-coding RNA (339 nucleotides) under uncultured fungus. Its description in RNAcentral is "sequence contains ITS2". The record is from RNAcentral. Lineage: Eukaryota; Fungi.
AACGCAUAUUGCGCUCUUUGGUAUUCCGAAGAGCAUGCUUGUUUGAGUAUCAGUAAACACCUCAACACUCUCGAUUUGUUUCGAAUGAGUGUUGGAUUUGAGCAAACCCAACGCCUUUCUGCUAGUCAGACUUGCGGCGGGUUGCUUGAAAUGCAGGUGCAGCUGAGUUUUCUUCUGAGCUAAUAGCAUACUUAAUUAGUCCCGUAAAAAGGAUUAUUAAUCUGCUGAAGCUUACACCAAAGGAAGAGCUCUUGGCUGACUGAUGCAGAAUUACGCUUAGCUGGCAACAGCUUUGUAAAACUCGAUCUCAAAUCAAGUAAGACUACCCGCUGAACUUAA